UCUUUGCUGCCUGACCCACAUGAUUUGAACAGCUGUCCUCCACCAAGCCCUUCCACCUCGCCCUGCCUGUCUCAGAGCCAGCUGCCUUUGGAGUGACUCUUCUAGAAACCAUGGGCCAAAAUAACCCUCUUCCCCUUUAAGUGAAAUGGGAAAAAUUGCAGUUCACCUACUUAGAUCCCUAGGAAUAUGUACUGAUACAUAUGAAAAUCUUCAUAAUUCCAGAAGCAAGAACAGGACCCCAUAAACUCCAUGAGCAUGCAGCUGGAUGAUCUGUGCUGGGGAGAUCCCCUCCCACUCCAGCCACUGAGAUAAUGCCAACAGCUAAGGCACUUCUACCCAUAAAAGGAAGGAGAAGAUUGUACGUGAGAGAUGCAGCGCCUGCACCUCUGUCUGUCUCUCUUUUUGCACACACACACACACACACACACACACACACACACACACACACACACUCGCACUCACACACACACACUCAAGUAAACACAGCAGUCAUUUGUAGCAUACUUAUUUUCAUCUUCCACAAAGUGUCCCUGAAGUUCAAGGUUGGAAUACUCAUGUUGGAAAUACCCUUCCCAUUACUGAGCUGAUAAGACAGGUAUGGAAGAUAACCAUUACGACUGUGUGAAAAGAUUUCCAGGAAACUCCUCAGUGAUGCCCAGCCCUCCAUGAAGCCUGGAGGGAUGACGUGGAGGACCACAGAUGACCUGCACUCUGAAUUCUAAGGGAAGCAAACCAGAGGGCCACUGAAUUGUCCACGAUCUUCACACUCUGGUCUGACUCAUUCUUGUCACUUGUCACUCAACAUGGGUCUGAUGUAGCAGUCCCAGCUUGGACCCAAGAAUCUCCUUUUUGUCUGGUAGUUUUGCUUCCUACCAGGCAAGUUUGGGAAAUAUAGAGGACCACGAAGUCCUUGGAGCUGACCAAGUUCAAGAUGGAGAAACCUAGAUCACCAAACGACCAAAUGGGGCAGAACUAGCUCACCAACCUAACCACCUUCCCAGAAGAUCUAAUUUAAAAAGAUUCAAGCAACAGAUGCCCACGAAGACUUCUCUGUUAACCCAGGAGUAUCUGCUCUGCUCGAAGAUGAGACCCAGAUGUUGUCCUACCUGAGCCUACUGUUGUACGUGGCCUCUGGGUAGCUGUAGUUGUUUCAGAGCAAAAGGAAGCAUGAAAAUGAAGCAUUUUUAGAAAAUAUGUACAGGAAGAACAUACUACAUGAAGCCUAGUAAGUUUUCAAGGGAGUGAUAUUUCCAAAGAAACUGUAACUUUGGAGUAUAUACACUUGUGACCGUCACAACUGUCCCCCCAGUACAAAAGAGAAGCAAGCUGAGAGAACUGUGCAGCCCCUGAGAAAGUCGUUCUCUCCAGGGCCCAAGUCAGGUGUGGGCCAUGGAGGAAAAUCGAUAAGGAAGAAGCUUGCGGAGGGCUGAUCCAGAACAGUCGAAAAUAAUGGACAAAAAUAUUUCUCCCACUGAACAGCAUCAAGGUUAAUUCAAGGACUUUUCCCACUGCCAGGGCAGGGCGUCUUCUCAGUGCUUGUUAUUGCUAUGCGUCUCUCCUUCCUCUCCUUCUGAAAAGAUGUUUGAACAUUUUGGUAAGUCAUUCUACUCCUCUUGUCUUACCAUUGUUUAAGGGGUGAUUGUGUUUAUGGGCUAGAUAAUUGGUCUUAUACUGGGCCAUGAGGAAUUGCAUCUAGUUCAAUGGAGAGCCUGGUGCUCAUGUAGGACUUUGGGGUGGUGGCAUCCACAGUGGAACUCUGGAUGAUCCCUCUGGGGAAAUGCGUGAAUUUGCUUUACCUGUGGGGGAAGUGGGUAAGGACAUUUGGAUGGAAAGAUUGCAGAAGAGAUUGCUCAUUUCCAUCCAAAUCCAUUCUUUCUUCUUUUGGACACAAAGGUGGGCAUUUUUCUCAGCUCCCUCAGAGUGAGGUGUGGCCUUGUGACUAAGUUAUCUGCUGGGCAGAGUGACUGGAAAUGAUGACUGUCACUUCCAGGCCUGGCCCAUGACUGUCCCUUCAAGUUUUUCAUAAUCUUUCUCAUUAUGCUCGAUGGAUGCAGUUAAUGAUGAGAUCCUCAAAGAUGGUUCGGUCACAAGACAGAAGGAGCCUGGGUCUCUCAGUAACCACCUGGAGCAAAGCAGCCCUAUUGACUUGGAUCCUGCACCAGGAACAUAACAAUAGCAAGGAAUACCUGCCAGUGCCUUAAUCCCUUAAGUGUUCGUAUCUAUUUAUUAUAGCAGGUUGGCAUACCCUAACGGUGGCUUUUAAAUAAAUGUCAUUAAUUAUAAACCUACACACUGCUUAUAUUACUUAUUAUUUUAUAGUCUUCACUUACUUCAUUACAAACAAUUUGUCUCUGAGAAAAUUGAUUAAUA
This is a long non-coding RNA of Chinchilla lanigera (long-tailed chinchilla), 2370 nucleotides long. RefSeq lists it as uncharacterized. NCBI's taxonomy places the organism in Eukaryota, Metazoa, Chordata, Mammalia, Rodentia, Chinchillidae. The transcript has 8 exons. The record is from RefSeq and is a predicted model, not a curated record.